UACGGAGGGUGCAAGCGUUGUUCGGAAUCAUUGGGCGUAAAGCGCGUGUAGGCGGCUAUCUAAGUCUGAUGUGAAAGCCCGGGGCUUAACCCCGGAAGUGCAUUGGAUACUGGAUGGCUAGAGGACGAGAGAGGGAAGUGGAAUUCCUGGUGUAGGGGUGAAAUCCGUAGAUAUCAGGAGGAACAUCGGAGGCGAAGGCGGCUUCCUGGCUCGUUUCUGACGCUGAGACGCGAAAGCGCGGGGAGCAAACAGG
RNAcentral lists this ribosomal RNA (253 nucleotides) under uncultured bacterium. RNAcentral describes it as "partial 16S ribosomal RNA". It matches the Rfam family "Bacterial small subunit ribosomal RNA", at positions 524 to 776 of the family's 1533-position model. The record is from RNAcentral.